GUUCGAACAAAAUUCAUAUUAUGUAGGUUAAAAAUUCGUCUGGAGACACAAUCAGUUCAAAAGUCAAGCACAUAAUAAAAGACAACAGAAAAUAGACAAAUCCAUGACUGGCAACAGAAAGUUGCAAGAGUUGCAACAUAUUACACAUCCCUACAAACAUCAUAAAACCCCCAUAUACUAUCUUCCUUCUUACACAUUAUCUUCAGCAUCCUCUUCUUCCUCGUCGUAAUAUUCCUCAUCAGCUGUGGCGUCUUGGUACUGCUGGUACUCAGAAACCAGAUCAUUCAUGUUACUUUCAGCCUCAGUAAACUCCAUCUCGUCCAUACCUUCACCUGUGUACCAAUGCAAG
Molecule: unclassified non-coding RNA, 349 nt
Filed under: Hevea brasiliensis (rubber tree)
Lineage: Eukaryota; Viridiplantae; Streptophyta; Magnoliopsida; Malpighiales; Euphorbiaceae
Source: RNAcentral